AAGACUAUACUUUCAGGGAUCAUUUCUAUAGUUUCUGACUUAGAAAUGUGUUUCUAAAGUGAUUUGUCUCGCUACCCACGAUGAUGAGUUACGAUGUUCUCCUCUGAGCGCGAAUCGGAUAGUGACUGUUGGUGAUUGCCAUGUGGUCUCUAUCAUUGAUGAACGUUCCCUGUGGUCUUUGACCUAGGGAGGAUGAGAGCAUGAACAGAGUGGA
This is a small nucleolar RNA of Sardina pilchardus (European sardine), 214 nucleotides long. RefSeq annotates it as small nucleolar RNA U3. NCBI's taxonomy places the organism in Eukaryota, Metazoa, Chordata, Actinopteri, Clupeiformes, Clupeidae. The record is from RefSeq and is a predicted model, not a curated record. The transcript has a single exon.